Nasonia vitripennis (jewel wasp) is the source of this 3090-nucleotide RNA transcript. It is a transcript of the gene named yellow-x1b, with no coding region annotated. The transcript has 3 exons. Lineage: Eukaryota; Metazoa; Arthropoda; Insecta; Hymenoptera; Pteromalidae. The record is from RefSeq and is marked inferred.
CGAGUGCAUGCUCAAAGCCGAAUGUUUAUUAAUGCCUUAUUUAUAACGUCCGUCCUCGCGCACGAUCGGCUUGCAACUUUUGUUUUCACGACCAGUCACGCGUUUCCCAGUCGCGUGAACUCGCAUCUGCAACCACACGAUGAUCGUCGUCGUAAAACUGAGCCUAGUCCUGACGUCGGUUCUAGUAUCCGGUGCGAAGCUAAGUACCGGUCCAGCCGAGGUGCACAUGCAAUGGGACUACGUGAACUACAGCUGGCCGUCGUGGGAAGCCUACGAACAGGCGGUAGCCGACAAGUCUUACAUUCGGGAGAACAACGUUGUGUCGGGUAUCAAGCUAUGGCGUGACAGGUUGUACCUAGCUGUACCGCGUCAAAAGCCUGGUAUUCCCGUGACACUGACCUCGAUUCAUGCUGAACCCGAGGACAGGUCGGUAGCGCCGUUGUUAGAGCCGUUUCCUAGCUGGGAGAUGCAGAAGCUCGGUGAUUGCAAAGCGCUGCAGUUUGUUCAGAGUAUGGAGAUCGAUCCGAUGGGCAGGAUGUGGGUCAUCAACAACGGCAGGAUUGACGUGAGGACGAACCAUUCCAAGUCGCUGUGUCCGUCACGGAUGAUGAUCUUCGACCUGGAGAACGAUGGCGAACUGCUGCUGGACUACGCGUUCCCAGAGGGUGUGAUCAACUCGUCUUCGGUAUACCUGAACGAUUUAGUCGUGGACCACGAGGACGGCGGCUUCGCCUACAUCAGCGACAACGACCCGAGUAAUCCAGGCGUCCUAGUGUUCUCCCUCAGGCGAAGAAGCUCCUGGAAGGUAACCCAUCACCCGUCGAUGUUCGCCAGUCCUGAUGCACGGAACAUUGUGGUCAACUCGACCCAUCUGACCAUCGACAGUAACAUCGACGGCAUCGCUUUGUCUCCUGCUUCAACGGAAGGUCGAGGUAGGACCCUGUUCUACUGUCCGCUGUCUUCGUACGAAACCUUCGCUGUGCCCACGUUCGUACUGAAGAACCCACGAAACCGAGGCCUGGUGAACAAGUACGUCAAGAGUCUUGGUCGAAAGCCAUCUCAGGGCGAUGGGAUGACGGUGACCUCGGCAGGAGUCCUCUACUUUGGUCUUCUACAGAAAAACGCGAUCGGAGCCUGGGACACCAAGGAUCCGCCCUUCAGCGACAACAUACAGAUUCUGACGGAGGAUCUGGAAUUGGUUGAGUGGCCGGACUCGUUCGCAAUCGACUCCAAGGGCAGACUCUGGAACACUGCCAAGAGACAAUCCGUUAUCAGGACUAGCGGGGUGGACAAAAGUGUUCCGAACUUUAGAAUUUUAAGGAUAGACAUAGGUGUUCGAGGCUAUCAGUAUUACGAGGACGGGAGUGCGCCGGUGUUGCCGGAGAUAACGAAUCAAAGCGAGUCGUUGCUUGGAAAGCUGAUGGGAAAUCUGGGGCACGCGGUGAGACACCUCACGCGGAAUGUGCUUUCGAUGCCGUUUUUCAGGCAAUGACCGAUUUUUUUUUUUUUUUUUUUUUUGUUGACUUUCCGUUUUCGACAAUAAAUGGUUGUACGUAACUUUUCUUUUUAUUUCUAACCAAACCAUUAAUUUCUCACUCGACUUCAUUAUAAUCAGAGAACGUGAUGAUACGCGCUGCUCCGAGGUAAGUAUCACAAAUAUCUUCUGUCGUGUCACAAUUAUCUUGCGCCAUUCUCUGUUGCCGUUGCUUCGCUUAACUUUCAGCGUCAGUUUGCAAAUUCUUAUAAUAAGCAACGGUCAAAAUAUGUUAGUUUCUCCAAUAGCCCUUGUCCUCGUAGCACAUCUGCUCAACCCUAUCUCAGCGCAACUGUCCAAUGCCAGAGUCCAUUACCAAUGGAACUACGUGAACUACACCUGGCCAUCAUCUCAGGCUCAUGACCAAGCGAUCCUGGACGGUUCGUACAUCCCCGAACACAAUGUCAUAAGCGGCGUGAAGGUGUGGAAGGAUCGCAUCUACCUAACAGUUCCGCGUCUGAAGAAGGGAGUUCCCUCGACCUUGAACUUUGUUCCUCUCGACUCUUCGAACCCCAGUCCUCUGCUGCGACCUUAUCCGAGUUGGUCCAUGCAGCGGGAGGACGACUGCAACUCCUUCCAGCUGGUUCAGAGUAUGGAGAUCGAUCCCCUGGGCAGAAUGUGGGUCAUCAACAACGGCAGGACUGAGUUGAGAAGUAACCAGUCGAGGUCCAUCUGUCCCUCUCGCCUGGUGAUCCUCGACCUGGAAAAAGACGGUGAGAUCAUUUUGAACUACAUCUUCCCCGACAACGUUGUGCAGUCUGAGUCGGUUUACCUGAAUGACAUCGUCGUGGAUCACGAGGACGGUGGUUUCGCCUACAUCACUGACAACGACUUGAAGCAUCCGGGGAUAGUUGUGUUCUCGCUGAGACAAAGACGCUCCUGGAAGGUGAGCCACGAGAGUAUGGAAGUUCAGGACGAAGCUGUCCUGAUGAGCAUCAACGGAACGACCUUCAGCAAUAAGUCACCUGUGAACGGUAUUGGCCUGUCGCAAGCGUCUGGUAGAAAUCGGUGCCUCUACUACUUUCCAAUUUCUUCAUUCGAACUCUCCGCUGUACCAACUUGGGUAUUGAAAAAGCGUUAUCGGAGUAUCGAUAAGUUCGUCGUCAAAGUUGGAAGAAAACCGUCGCAGUCCGGAGGUAUGAUGGUAUCAUCAACAGGCAUCCUGUACUUCGGCCUUUUGGGUGAAGACGCAGUAUCCUCUUGGAAUACCGCAUCACCACCUUUCACCGAUAACCAACGCAUAGUCAUCCAAGAUCAUGAACUAUCGCAAUACCCGGACAGCUUCGCCCUGGACGAACGCAGCCAUCUCUGGUACACGUCGAACAGAUUGCAGGUCUUCAUUACUGACAAAGUCGACGUGGAUAGGAUCAACAUCAGGCUGAUCGUUGCUGACAUCGAAGCCAAGAACUAUCAAUACUUUAAAGACGGCAGUGCUCCCAAGUUGCCGAAGAUCGGAGAAACGCGACUGAGAAAUUUCGUUCAGAAACGAUUGUUGAUUAUGUGACAUAAUUAUAUAUUAUGCAAGCUAAAUUCUUGUAUAAAUCAGUAUACAUGUA